CAAUAGCGUAUAUUAAAGUUGUUGCGGUUAAAAAGCUCGUAGUUGGAUCUCGGCAGGCAGGGGGUGGUUCGCUCUUAGCGCUACUGCCCCAUUUGCCUGUGUGAUUGGCGGAGGUUUCGGGGUGCUCUUCGUUGAGUGACCCGGGGCGCCGUCAGGUUUACUUUGAAAAAAUUAGAGUGCUCAAAGCAGGCUUUUCACGCUUGAAUAUUCGUGCAUGGAAUAAUGGAAUAGGAACUCGUUUCUAUUUUGUUGGUUUUCGGAAAUCGAGUUAAUGAUUAAUAGGGACAAUUGGGGGCAGUAGUAUUCAGACGACAGAGGUGAAAUUCUUGGACCGUCUGAAGACUAACUACUGCGAAAGCAUUUGCCAAGAGUGUUUUCAUUAA
RNAcentral lists this ribosomal RNA (383 nucleotides) under uncultured eukaryote. RNAcentral describes it as "partial 18S ribosomal RNA". It matches the Rfam family "Eukaryotic small subunit ribosomal RNA", at positions 592 to 976 of the family's 1831-position model. The record is from RNAcentral.